UACGUAGGGUGCAAGCGUUAAUCGGAAUUACUGGGCGUAAAGCGUGCGCAGGCGGUUAUGUAAGACAGUUGUGAAAUCCCCGGGCUCAACCUGGGAACUGCAUUUGUGACUGCAUAGCUAGGGUACGGUAGAGGGGGAUGGAAUUCCGCGUGUAGCAGUGAAAUGCGUAGAUAUGCGGAGGAACACCGAUGGCGAAGGCAAUCCCCUGGACCUGUACUGACGCUCAUGCACGAAAGCGUGGGGAGCAAACAGG
RNAcentral lists this ribosomal RNA (253 nucleotides) under uncultured bacterium. RNAcentral describes it as "partial 16S ribosomal RNA". It matches the Rfam family "Bacterial small subunit ribosomal RNA", at positions 524 to 776 of the family's 1533-position model. The record is from RNAcentral.